CGUACAGAACUCAUAUGAGGUCUGUAAUCGAAAUGAGUGCAUUAUAAAUCCUUUACGAGAUCUAUUGGAGGGCAAGUCUGGUGCCAGCAGCCGCGGUAACUCCAGCUCCAAUAGCAUUAUUAAUAUUGCUGCAGUUAAAAAGCUCGUAGUUGGAUCUGGGUUCAGGUUUGGAAUCUCAUGUAUGGAUGACUUGUUGUCUGUGCUGUAGUAUAUCUAGGCCGAAUCUUCCAGCUGUUCUGUGUGGUGAUUCGUUACUGCAUAGAUAGUGUAUUUGUCUUGUAAGGCCUCACGGCUUCUUGCAUUUAUGCUAUGCACUGUCAAUGCCUUUAACCGGGUGUUCAGUGUGGACAGCAGUUUACUUUGAACAAAUUUGAGUGCUCAAAGCAGGCCUUGUUGCCUGAAAAGUCUUGCAG
This 413-nucleotide ribosomal RNA is filed under the name Gyrodactylus fairporti. RNAcentral describes it as "SSU rRNA". It matches the Rfam family "Eukaryotic small subunit ribosomal RNA", at positions 477 to 810 of the family's 1831-position model. Lineage: Eukaryota; Metazoa; Platyhelminthes; Monogenea; Gyrodactylidea; Gyrodactylidae. The record is from RNAcentral.